UGGGGAAUAUUGCGCAAUGGGGGAAACCCUGACGCAGCGACGCCGCGUGCGGGAUGAAGGCCUUCGGGUUGUAAACCGCUUUUGAUUGGGAGCAAGCUUUCGGGUGAGUGUACCUUUCGAAUAAGCGCCGGCUAACUACGUGCCAGCAGCCGCGGUAAUACGUAGGGCGCAAGCGUUAUCCGGAAUUACUGGGCGUAAAGAGCUCGUAGGCGGUUUGUCACGUCGUCUGUGAAAUCCUAGGGCUUAACCCUGGACGUGCAGGCGAUACGGGCUGACUUGAGUACUACAGGGGAGACUGGAAUUUCUGGUGUAGCGGUGGAAUGCACAGAUAUCAGGAAGAACACCGAUGGCGAAGGCAGGUCUCUGGGUAGUAACUGACGCUGAGGAGCGAAAGCAUGGGUAGCGAACAGG
This 411-nucleotide ribosomal RNA is filed under the name Verrucomicrobiota bacterium. Its description in RNAcentral is "Verrucomicrobia bacterium partial 16S ribosomal RNA". It matches the Rfam family "Bacterial small subunit ribosomal RNA", at positions 355 to 776 of the family's 1533-position model. The record is from RNAcentral. Lineage: Bacteria; Pseudomonadati; Verrucomicrobiota.